UGGAUAGGUCUUCUAGACAGAAAAUAACAAGGGAACAGCAGCCUUAAAUAACACAGUAGACCAGAUGGAUUUAAUUGAUAUUUUUAGAGCAUUUCACCCCCAAAGCAGCAGAAUAUUCAU
Long non-coding RNA from Myotis brandtii (Brandt's bat), 120 nucleotides. RefSeq lists it as uncharacterized. The record is from RefSeq and is a predicted model, not a curated record. Lineage: Eukaryota; Metazoa; Chordata; Mammalia; Chiroptera; Vespertilionidae. The transcript has 3 exons.